Molecule: long non-coding RNA, 798 nt
Filed under: Phasianus colchicus (ring-necked pheasant)
Lineage: Eukaryota; Metazoa; Chordata; Aves; Galliformes; Phasianidae
Description: lncRNA (ENSPCLG00000006345.1)
Source: RNAcentral
CUCACAGUUACUUAAGGCCCUACCUAUUAGCAGGCUUCUCUCAGCUGUGGCUCAUUUAUUUUUCUUCACAUACUCCUUCCAUAUCAAAUGACAUAAUUCCAAAUGAUUUAUGCACUGAGGUGACACACUUCAUCAGGUUAGAUUAAUUCACCAACUCCUGUGUGCUAUUAUAGGCAGUUUUUGGCUCUAUACUUAUGGAGAUAGUUGGACAGUUAAGAAUUGACAGCACUUCUUGCGUUCUAACUCUUUGAUUAACAAGGAAGGUUUCAGCAUUGCUCCUUUCAAUCAUCCAUUACAAACGGAAUAUGAGCGAAAAAUAGGGCUCAAAAGAAAGCUAACAAGCAGAAUAGAAUCGCUCUACGUGAUGAGGAACUGAGAAAGAAUUACCAUAAUUUGUGUGAAUUUCACCACUGAACUAGAAGAAACAGAAGAAUUUUAAGAAGAAAGUAUAGCUAAAAUUAUUUUUAAACGCCAUAUAUUUUUUGUUUGUUUGUUUUCAUCAUUUGAGUAAGAUAGAGUGUUUUGGAAGAUGGGGUUUUCUAUGAUCUCCUGCUGGGAAUAAUCUCAUGCAAAGCUGCCUACUGCUUUGUGAAGUAUAUAAAUAGGGUGACAAGUUACAGCUAAAUUUAAGAGAUAAGAUGUCAACUUAAGCUUAAUGCUUUAAAUCUUGUUACUUACAAGAUUCUUAUGUGAUACAUCUACAGAUGAGAUCAAUGGAAAUUGAAGUUCCUUCAUUAUAGAAGAGAAAUUGCUGUUGGAAUAUCAUUUUUCAUUAAAACCUGGUGUGUAUCCUUCCCA